ACAAAUCUCAGUUUUCAUGACUGCGUCACCAUCAUCAAAAUUUAUGUAAAAUUAAGUAGUGAGUAAAAUUUUAGUAAUGAAUAAGCUUAGUGAGUUAGAACUAAACAUUUACUCCGCCAUGUACGACCGGAUAUGUUCACUAAACAGUUACCAAGCGCCUGGGCGAGAACAUGUAGUGUUGUUUCUUGGGCUGUCUUCCACCAUGGUUAGGUACUUAAGGCGCAAAGUUCUCUGAUACUAAACGCUAUUUUGACUGCGGAGACGACUGAAGAUGGUACUCUGACCGCCCAAGACUUUCUUAAACUGAUGACGUCAGUAACUGGAAUCCUCAGUCCUUGGGAGCGUCUGGCGCUCCUUCACGUCGGCAUUAGUGACCUCGUGGUUGUGGGGAGGUCAGAGGAGUCGCAAUGAGCUGAGAUGAGUCGCUUACGUUUUAUUUAUUUCCACAACAAUUGGUUGCUUUAAUAAACAAGUAAUAUGUUAUUCUUAAUCGAAGAUAAAAACCUUUUGAUCAUA
RNA transcript from Homalodisca vitripennis (glassy-winged sharpshooter), 516 nucleotides. RefSeq lists it as uncharacterized. The record is from RefSeq and is a predicted model, not a curated record. The transcript is spliced from 2 exons. Lineage: Eukaryota; Metazoa; Arthropoda; Insecta; Hemiptera; Cicadellidae.